RNAcentral lists this ribosomal RNA (869 nucleotides) under Elphidium sp. RNAcentral describes it as "SSU rRNA". It matches the Rfam family "Eukaryotic small subunit ribosomal RNA", at positions 1160 to 1789 of the family's 1831-position model. The record is from RNAcentral. Lineage: Eukaryota; Foraminifera; Rotaliida; Elphidiidae.
AAGGGCACCACAAGAACGCGUGGAGCAUGUGGCUUAAUUUGACUCAACGCGGGAAAUCUUACUGGGUCCGGACACACUGAGGAUUGACAGACAUAUAACUUUUUCUCACAUCUGUGAGAUUUAGUUAAAAUAAAGAUGCUAGUUCUUUCAUGAUUAUGUGAUAGGUGGUGCAUGGCCGUUCUUAGUUCGUGGAGUGAUCUGUCUGCUUAAUUGCGUUUCACUAUAAUAAAUAGAAUAUUUUAUGCAUUUUUAUAUUUGACCUCACAUCUCGUGUUGUGUCAUUUAUAUUUGUUUAUAUUCUAAUAAGAAAGCAACGAACGUGACCAUAUCCUUUUAUUAACUUACACAAAUUACAAGUAAGUUUUAAAAAUUAAAGGGACCGCUGUUUCAUUUCCUUAAACCAGAGGAAGGUUAUGGCAAUAACAGGUCUGUGAUGCCCUUAGAUGUUCCGGGCUGCACACGUGCUACACUGAUUAUUUCAGUAAGUAUCACAAACACAAUUAUAUUGUAUACCUACUUCGAAAGUAAGCGGGUAAUCAAUUAUAAGUAAUGAUUUCCAUAUACACAAUAUUAUGCAAUGCAUGUGUAUCCCGUGAGAUUUUUAAUUCUCGCGCGUGUGUACCAUGUAAUUUUUUUGCAUGUGUAAUUGUUAAUUCAUGGUGGGGACAGACCAUUGUUUAAAUUGUUGGUCUCGGUCUUAACUAGGAAUGCCUUGUACGGGUCUGGGUUCAACAAACCACCCGGAAUACGUCCCUGCCCUUUGUACACACCGCCCGUCGCUCUUACCGAUGAACUUUGCUAUGAGUAUAAAGGAUUGACUUCUUUGUUGAAAAUUUAUACGAAUAGUGUGGUUUAAAGGAAAGAGAAGU